Molecule: RNA transcript, 10660 nt
Organism: Solenopsis invicta (red fire ant)
Lineage: Eukaryota; Metazoa; Arthropoda; Insecta; Hymenoptera; Formicidae
Gene: hzg
Gene name: carboxy-terminal domain RNA polymerase II polypeptide A small phosphatase 1
Exons: 5
Source: RefSeq, a predicted model, not a curated record
CCGUAAAUAGAUCCGCGCCUUCAUCCCGUCCUUCUCCUCUUCUUUCUCUCGCCUCCGCUCCCGCGACGUCUUCGUGAUGCUCUCCGCCAGAUGCUGCGCCGGGAUUUCGUUUCCUCUACACCUGUUACGGUAUCCGCACUCGCGUUUGUUUCCUCAACCUACGUCGUCCAACUUCAUCAUUUGUUCCUUUCUCGUAUGCAACUUCUCGCGUGUCGUCUCCAGUGCCGUGUUUCUUGCCCCUUGCACUCCGCGUCCGUAUUGCCAUUCCUGUUCAAACCCUUGUCACUCCGUGUUGUGCAGCCUCCGCGGUGUCACGAAUUUCCUUAUUUUCUUGUGCCAUAUCAUGCCCUUUAACCUUUCACGUGCCUUUCACGAGAGGCUCUCUAAGGGGAAGGAAACGGCAAAAAAACUCGCUGCAAAAGCUCAGUUACCUCGAGAAAAUGAAACAACCAACAAUACUACAUCGAGUGGCAAGAAGCCGAGAGGACGUGGGCUUUUGCGCUCAUUGCUCUGCUGCUUCGGAAGGGGUCGAGGUGGCAGUUCAAAGAGCUCCAAGGCUAGUUCUUUGCAAGGUGAUGGUCGUGGCUCACCACCACCUGGUACCGGAUCUCCAAGGUUUCUCCUACCACCAGUCAGGCACCAAGACAUGCACAAAAAGUGCAUGGUAAUUGACUUGGAUGAAACUUUGGUGCAUAGUUCUUUCAAACCAAUCAACAAUGCGGACUUUGUUGUUCCUGUAGAAAUUGAUGGAACAGUACAUCAAGUGUACGUCUUAAAGAGGCCUUAUGUAGACGAGUUUUUGCAAAGAAUGGGUGAAUUAUAUGAAUGUGUACUGUUCACUGCGAGCUUGGCUAAGUAUGCAGACCCAGUGGCGGAUCUAUUAGAUCGAUGGGGUGUAUUUAGAGCGAGGUUAUUCAGAGAAUCUUGUGUGUUCCACAGAGGAAACUAUGUUAAGGAUUUGAACAAAUUAGGUCGGGAUUUGCAGCAAAUCAUUAUUGUAGAUAAUAGUCCUGCCAGUUACAUUUUCCAUCCAGAUAACGCGGUUCCAGUGGCAUCUUGGUUUGAUGACAUGACGGACUCCGAGCUUCUGGAUCUAAUCCCUUUUUUCGAAAAGCUCAGCAAUGUAGAUAACAUCUACACGGUGCUGUGUAAUAGCAAUCAUCCUUACAAUCAGAUACCUGCGCACGCGGUGCAGAGCAAUCAAAGCCUGCCGACUUCAAUUUCAAUGGCUGCUUCCUAGCCCCACCUGAAUCCUGGCAAUGCAGCCAGUCUUGUCGCUCAAUGCACCUUCCGAAGGAUUCUAAGGGGACUGCUCCAUGUGACCCACUCGCUAUGUGGCGAAGGAUCCCGAAGUGCUCCUCGUUGAUCUUUGGAAAAAUCACUUCGAUUCAGCAGAGUCAAAUGUCUUAUAUCCUGAAAGCGCGUCAUUUAAGUCGACACACACAGUUAUAGCUGCUGAUAUCUCUCUUCCUGGUGAGCAACGCAAUGAAGACUGAAUCAGCUUCGAAGCGCGAGUGUUCUUCCAUUUUGCACCAAGUGUCGAAAGCGAUGAACUAUAUCGACCUUGUCCGCAUUGGACUGAAAAUAUGUCUGUACUCGAUAAAAGAACCUAGUGAAGGAUAAAACCAGGAAUCUCCAUCGAGCGGAAAUUGUUUAGAGAAAGAUUGAUCGAUCGCGAGAGAAAAGAGAGCGAUGGUUAGGGUGACUGUCGGUGAUUGUAUACUGUAAAAUGUAUACUAAAAAAUGUAAAGUUAUAAGAAAGGAAAAGUAUGAAGAGAGGAAAAGAAGAGAGAUUGCUUCGAGUCGUUUGAUGGGCCAUGCUGUUGUUGCUGUAUAGUUUUUCAAUUUGAGCCGAGACACAAAUUCUGUUCACUUAGAUUUGAUUGCACAGAAGUCAUCAAUGCUCCGAUUACGUUUAUGAGUGCUUCUGACCCAACUUACAGAUAUGUUGAAAAAAGGAGGGUAACAGUAGCAGGUAGCAAUUUAAAGUAUAUUUUUUAUUGUUAUAAGUUCAAGAUGGGGAAAAUUUUAUUUUAACUAUUUUAAUUUAAAAUAAUACUAUAAAAAGAUCAGAGAUAUUUUAAAAUUUAGUAUUAAAUUACUAUAACUUUUAAAAUGUGUGGAUACAAAGAUCGAAUAUCAAUACAAAUCUAGAAUAAAUAUCUAGAAAUUAAAAAUCUAGAUAAGAAUUUAGAAAUUUGUUAAAGUAAAAUAUUUGAUAUGUUACUUUAACUGUUUGAGAAUCUUCGAAAAAUUGAAUGUGCAAAUUUAAUCUUACUAUAGCCCAAAAACUUUUAAAUUUGGAGAAUAUUUCAGGACUAAGAGAUUUUCAAGUUUAUAAGAAUAUAUUGUCAACUACUCGUUUACAUUAUCGAGGAAUAGAAAUAACAAUUUUCUGCGUAUUUUAUUGAAUAAACUUUCAUCUUUAUACUUAUGAAUAUAGUGUUAUGUAAAUCGCUUGCUAAACAUAACAAAAGAUACUUUUUAAAUCUUUUAUUUCAGAAAUCGGUAUCUUAACCCCUUGACUGGCAUUGACGCCUUUUGCCAUCAAAUUUUGCUGUGUUUCUGAAGAAAUUGAAUUGCUGCACCUGUGUGUGAGUAUAUGAAAUUUCAAAUAAUUCUAUUCUCUUUGAAUGCAAAAAAUUGCAAUAUUUCUCUUUGAAUGCAAAAAAUUGUAAUAUUUUUGGAGUUUUACAUAGUCUUACAUCAGCCAUUUAGAAUUUUAAAUUUUGUUCAUAAAUUCGUUUUCAGGGAAAUUAUCCUCAUCCAAAAUCUCAAAUAUUUUAUAUGGUAAAUUUUAUGGAAAUUGUAGUACUUUUUUUCUGAUCCCACAUAUUUUGUCCGAAACAUUCUGCUACUCAAGGGGUUAACAAGGUUUAUAAAAUUAUGCAGAAAUUAUAAUGAUUCAAUUCCUAUUAUUAAAUAUAUCUGUAAAGCAUCCAACAAAAUCAUUGGUUUUGGAAAAAUUUGUGCGCAAAUUAAGCGUUUUAUUAAUGUUAUAUUUGAGUACUGUGCACAAUAUUUCCUGCUGCUGGUACACAUCUUUUAUAGAACGCUCUGUAUGCGGCAUUUAAAAUGGUGACAUUGAAAUUUUACAGGGUAUGUACUACUAUUCUUUUAUUAACUUUGAUAUUUAUAAACAUUUCCAUUUUUACUUUUAUUUUUACCAAUUUUCAUUAUUAAGUAAAUAAUUGUAUUUGUUUCCAAUAUAUUUAUUGGAAUAAAAUAUUGUAAUUAGACUCAUAUCUUUCUGAAUAUAUUAAUUUUUGCUUUUCCAGCACAGCAAAGUUCUUUUUCUAUGUUUGCCAAAAGUUUCAAAAAAUUUAACAUGAUAAAAAGUAUGUGAUUUUUGAGUAUUAAUUAAAAUUGAAAGAAAAUAUUGAUUGGUUUGCAGAAAUUUUAAAGAAGUCACAUCAAUAAUAAAUUAAAUGUGUUGUUAAGAGAAAAGAAAGGAUAAAUUAUAUAAUCAAGAAUAAUCACGAAUCACAUAUUGUCAAUAAUGAUAAACUGAAAGCUGGGCCAAUGCAUAUCAUUCUUUCCCUCCAAGCUAUGAAGUUAUGUCAUGUUUAAUUAUUCGUUUUUUUGGAGCAAAAAUAAUUUAUUUAAUGUGGAAUUAAAUAGAUUUUUGUAAGAAUAACAAUAUAUUCAGGCAUUUCUCUUAUUCUUUGAUAUAAUAUGAAUGUAUAUAUAUAUAUAUAUAUAUAUAUAUAUAUAUCCUUUGAAAAAAUAUAUAUUAUAGAGAGAGAAAGAAAGAGACAAUUUAUUUUCAAUAUAUUAUUUAAUUGCGCGUGCGCGCGCGUGUGUGUGUAUGUGUGUGUGCAUAUGUAUGGUAUACGCGCGUGCACAUAAAAUUAAUAUGUUAUAUUUAAACAUUAGAUAAUCUCGCAAUUUUUUUUUAUUGUAAACUUGCUAAUGUACUUUUAUCCAGUCUUACUACUAACAACUGCCAAUUUGAAUUAUCAGAUAUAUGACUGCCAAUCUGCACGAAAUAUAUCACAGAAAUAAAAGAAAAGAGGGGAAGGGAAGAAUCACACGUGAAAUUAAAUUUUAAUCUUACAAUAAUUUUUACAAUGAUCGAGAAAAUAUUAAUGUUUAGUAUUCUUUUUAAGUUUUAUAAUUUAUUUUAACUCAUUUAUUUUGAAAACGAAACGUAUAUAUAUAUAUAUAUAUAUAUAGAGAGAGAGAGAGAGAGAGGAAAAACAUGUUUUAAUAGAAUUUACGAAUUUUAUUUACGAAUUUUAAUUAACAAUUUUCUUGCUCCAACGAAACGAAUUGUACGAUAAUGUCAUUAACAAAUUAGAAUAAUUUAGAUAUAGCCCAAUGUGGGGGCAAUAGAUAAGCAGCAGUAUAUCCUUACGCGUAUGUGCAUAUAUUUACUAAUGCGUAAUUUAUAAACAAUCACAGCUGCUUGAUCGAACAUAAUGAAUGUACAAAGUGCAUUGUACUAUUAUAAUCAAUUCAAACUGUUAUUUUUUUGGGCUUUUACUUUUGUUAAUGUUAUUAUUAUAUUAAUAUAAUUAUGUAUUGUAAUUAUCGACAUUGAUGUCGUCAUUCAAGUGUAGAAAAAAACUGAAUAUUUUACUUUGCAUAUCUUGCUACUGAAAAAUUACACAUCUAGACUUUGACUAUAAUAAGAAAAUAUUUUCCAAAAUUACAAUUUGAGGUGAAAGUAACAAAAUUUUUUAAAAUUUUGCGUUGAAAUGACGACAUUAUUAUCGAUAUAUUCAAUGAAUAUAUUGAUUACCAAUAUCACAGUUUGUAACAAACUCGGCUACGUUUGCGUCUUUUAUUUUUUUUUUCUUCAUUCGAAUACAGGGUGGAUCGAAAAUCGAAAUAUAUUAACGAUAAUUAAUAAAAAAAUUGUCUUUUGUUGACACGGAUAAUUUGGAAGACCAAAAUUUUUUAACUUAUAAUGUAAAAUUGUAAAAAUCUGUUUUUCUUUGAGUGAGUAAAAAAAUUAUGGAUAUCAAAUGUUCUUCAUAUUAAAAAUGAUGAUAAUAUGAUAGAAAAUAAUUAUUUUUAAUCUUUGAAAAUAAUAAAUAGGAUAUACAAAGAAAAAAAUACAAAGCUUAAUUUAGAUACAUAAUAUGAUUGUAUGAUCAAUAAGAAAAUUUUUACAUAUAUGUAUAUUAGAGAUUUUACUUCGUGUAAAAAUAUCAAAGCUAUUCGUGCAAAAUUUUUUUUAGUUAUUUUAUCAAAAAGUCUUCCUCCAUGCAUGCAACUGCGAUAGAAUUUUUGGACUACCCUGUAUUUUGGAAUGUUUUAUUAAAUUAUAUAUAUAUAUAUAUAUAUAUAUAUAUAUAUAUAUAUAUAUAUAUAUAUAUAUAUAUAAUAACUCGGAGAGAUCCGAUUGUUUGAAUUACAUUAUUUCUACUUAAAUAAGGCAGAGAUUUUAACGAAAAGAUUUUUGAUGUGGCUUCCGAUUCUUCCAUCCUUCUGUACUUAGUAAGUGUGCCGGUGUUUCUUGUAAACAUUGUUACGCGCGAAUGUGUAUCGUAAUAUUCUCUUUGUAACGCCCAUCGAAACGACUCCGUUAACAUAAUAACCGUCAUAUGUCUGGUUUGGAACAAAUCUGUGCACGAUCUGAGGAUCCGAGAAUCCAUAGGUCCAAGCAUCCAAGCAGUUAAACGAAAAUUAUAGGAAUUUAAAAAUUCAUCGAUCUCUGCCCAGUCGAGGAAGAGUUGAGAAUCGUAAUCAAUUAUUCUAAAUUCUGAGACUGUAAGAAUAUAAUAAAAGUCCACGAAUCCAUCGAUUAUCUAAGCGUGCAAUGAUCCAACACUAUGUUUUGUGAUACUUAUAAAAAUUCACGUUAGCAUAGUAAAACUAUGAUUUAGAAGUUAAGGAUCGUGGAUAGAAUAAUCAAAAGAAAUUUAAUUUUUGAGAUAUUAGAAGGAUUGAAAUCUGUCAAAAAUUUGGGUAUCGGAAAAUCAGCUAGUAAGAAAUCAAAAGAGAGAGAAAGAGUAUAUUUAAAGAUCUUCGGAGAUUUAACAAUUUAGGAUUGAAACAUCGAACAAUUUCCACAUUGGUUAGGCUAGAAUUCCAAAGAAUUGAAGAUUCAGACUUGAAGAUAUAUAGAAUCUAAGAAUUCAAGGAUGCACAGAUGCAUAGAUCAAAAUUGUACACAAACGCGAGGAAGAAUCUAAGGAUUCAAGGAUCUUAAAGCAUUUUAGCUACAGCACAGCAUUAUUAUUACGUUAUUGCGUAUGAAAAGUCCAUUUUUACUUUUUAUCGAUCUCGAGGAGUUUGGCGAAUUUUAUAGAUAUAGAUUAUAUUAAUAAGACAAAAUAAAAUCUUGUUAUCUAAAACAAAAAGUUACACGAAAGGUAUGUACAGUUUUCAAAAGGCCGUGCAAUUCAAGCGUCCAUUUUAUUUAUUUAUUUGCAAGAGGUGUAUACGUUGAAGGCUUUUUUUAUAUUUGCAGACUUGAAAAUUCGACGUUUCGUACGCAAAUACGUGAUAUUUCAACAUAGUUUGAAACAAGGAGAAACACGAACAAGAAAGUUGCCAAUAAUGUUCUCCUUAAAAUCGCAAUCAUCAUUUCGAACCGCCUUGCUACGCAUAAUGAAGCGACGAAUUUAUAAAAAAAAGUGUGUGUGUGUGUGUACGUGUGUGCGUGGUGUAUAAUCGCACACAUAUAUAUAUUACACACACAUACACACACACACACACACACACACAUCCAAAAAUGGCAUAGAGGAGUAGAGAAUGUGCGCGCGUGUGUGUAUGAUGCGUGUAUUUGUAUGUAACAUGUGUAAGUAUGUGUGUGUGUGUGUGUGUGUGUGUGUGUGUGUGUGUGUAUGUGUGAAGAAAAAAAAAUAAUAGCGUUUGAGGCUUUCGCCGAGCAACGGCCGUCGCGCCAAUUCAAGUUGAGCCCUUUUUAUAUAUGGAGAUUCAGAAAAAAUUUCUUAAAAGGAAAACGUGAAAAAAAAAGAAAAGAUUAAAAGCGAGGACGCGCGGCUUUUGCGCGCUAUAUAAAAUUAGGAACAAUUGUAUUAUUAUCAUUGCUGCGCGAAUUGUAUAAAGGUUCUUUUUUCGUGAUUUAUUGUUAACCCGUUGAAGGCUCGCGCCGCCUUUCAUUGCAAUAAAGUAGCAUGGUUCUGUGCUCACACCGAUAGUGUUUUGGCACAAAAUGCGGCUAUCUGAUUAUAUCCCAGAAUAGAAUCUUACAAUUAUAUACAUGUGCAUGUAUAUACAUAUACAUAUACAUAUAUAUAUAUAUAUAUAUAUAUAUAUAUAUACACACACACACACACACACACACACACACACACACACACACACACAUAUAUACAUACAUACAUACAUAUAUAUACACAUUUCCUCUCCUUUCUCGAGUUGAAAUAAAAUUCGUAGAAAUCGGAUAGUCGCAUUGGGAACAGCAGCUGCACCGAGAUGUAAAUGCAGACUUUUUAAAAUCAUUCAUAUUCGCAUUGCGCGAUUAGCGCUAAAUGUGGUUCUCCACGUUUCAACUUUAUGUGAUUAUUCACAUUGGAUCCCGCAACUUUUGUAUCGGGCAAUUAGAAUCGUAGAAUUAACGGGCAGUCACACUGAAAUAAAACCUUGUCAACUUAACUAAAUUUUUCAAUUUGAUUAAAUUUCUUUAGUUUAAAUAUUUAUAAUGUAUUUAAGUUAAAUACACAAAAUUUCAGAAUUUCAAGUAUUUAUAUAUUUAACGUAAAUACAUCAUGAAUAUACAUCAUAUUUAAACCAAAGGAAUCAAGAUAAAAAAUUGUAUUUAAAUUAAAAAUGCAAGUACUUGAAGUUAAAGUAUUUUAUGUAUUCAAGUUAAAUAUAUAAAUACUUGAACUGAAGAAACUUAAUUAAUUUGAAAAAUUUAGUCCAAUUAAUAACGUUUUUUUCAGUACGUAUUUAGUGAUUACUUGCGAUUAUGGAUACAGGUUUGCCUGUAAGAUAAAAAAGGGUUGUUAUUCGCACUGCACAUCUAGCGCUAAAUGCGAUCGAUCCUCGAUCGUAUUAAUUGUGAUCUUCGUGUCGCUAAUUAAAGUGGCACAAUAUAGUGGCUUUACGUAUUUAAGUUUCGUGACUUUAGAAGAUCUAUCGAGAUAAUUUUACGAAAGCAUGUACAAUCAUGAAAAAAGUAUCGUCGAAUUCUUAAAGAAGACCCUUUAUCUUUAUUUCCCAGACAGCUAAGAUUUCUUUUUAGAUUUCUAAAAGAUUUCUUAUUAUGUCUUGAGAUGUUUUGCAUUUCUUUUGAAAAGUUUUAAAAAGAUAGGGAUCUAAAAAGUAUUUUAUCUAAUGUGAGAUAUCUGGGAAUGUUUUAAGGAUAUCUUAUAGAAAUCGUAAAGACAACAUUUAUGUGACCAAAAUCUUUCAGAUGUCUUUCAGAUGUCUAUAGACAUCUUUUAGACAUCUUAUAAAUUUUAAACAACUUUUAAAUAACUUCUACAGCCUUAGAGGCUGUCUACAAUAUAUGAAGUAAGCGUGAAGGCUGGAGUUGGAGUAAGAAAUAAAUUUAUUUGCUGAUGUUCUUACUCCAGCUUCUUACAGCGAAAAUACAUACACCUACUCUUACUUCUCUCAGCCAAGUUUACUCUGCACAUUGUAGACCCUGCCUUAGUCAUAACUAUGAAGCCGUUACAAAUUGACUUCAACAUCUACAUCUAAUUAAAAAUAUAUAAAAAGACAGUUUUAUUGAAAAAUAUUAUUUUUACAAUAAUUUUAAUUUGUUUUUUUUCUGGCUUUUGUUACUAUCUUUUUUUUAAUAAAAAAGGAUUAUAUUGAAUGCUUCAUAUUUAUAGUCAAUGCUAUAAAAAAAUUUUGAUACUUUUAAGUAGAUAUUUUUCAAAUAUCUACAAAAUCUCAAUGUUUUCUUGAUUGUUACUUUUCAUUGUAAAAAUACGGAGAAAUAAGUUUGAUGAAACUUUACACAUGUCUGGUAUUAGUUAAUUUAGCGAAUAGUAAAUAUAUAGAUUAAUUUUUGAUAUUGAGCUUUUUUAAUUUUAAAAGUUUAAUGAAGGCUAUUUUCGCGGAUUUUUUAAAAUCUAUGUGACUUUUCAUACAUGUAUAGAUUUAUUGUACAUGUCCCUCAUUUUUAUUACGAUAUAACUAAAAAAUUAUCAUUUUUUACGUGUCUAUAAAAAAAUUUUGAUAAAAAUUUAAUACGCUGAGUGAAGAACUAAUGAUAUUUUUAUUCCUUAACAAUCACUAAAUCAAGUUGUUUGUCAAAAUCGUAUUUGACCUGGAAUAUUACUAUAGGUGAAUUUUUAUCUAAAUGCUAAUUCAAAUUUAAUACAGUUUUUGUUAUUAAAAAUUUGAUAACUUAAAAUAAUGUUUAAUAAAAUUUUGUUUACAUUAGUAUUAGUUUAGUUAUUUUAACAUUUCGUAAUCUAUAAAAAAACCUACAGACAUAAAAAUAACUAAACAAACUUCUUGUGAAUAAAUUAUGUGAAUAAAUUUUCACCCAGAAAAGUGUUAAUGUAAGAAUAAUAUAAAUAGAAUUCCAGAAUUAAAUCACAAGUCGGUUUUCUCGCAUAAAAAUUGAUCUAACAGCAAAAAAAUAUAAAUUUUUCAAGAAAUACUAUUUAAAAAUAAAUUCUAGGAACUUUUUGUUUUUGAUUAUCUAUAACUGAGAUAUAUGCACGUCACCGUUUUUGUAAAAUGUUAAAAUAUUAAUAAUUUUGAAAUUAAUGAACAUAUCUAUACCAAAUUUUCCAAAGAUAUUUCAAUAUGUAUAAGUUUACAAAAAUCUAUGAAAAUCCAUCGUAUAGAUUAAAACAAAUUACCGAAAAUAUAGUCUUCUUUAUUAGACUUUCAAGAUCUGAAAAUAUCUAUUAAUGCCUGGAUUAUUUUUUUUACUUCAGAAUAUUAUUUGAGCAAGCAGAUAAGAAAUUGACAUCAUGUCAAUAAGUCUUUUUAAAUUAUUUAUUGAAAAAUUUUAUCUUCGAAAUUUUAAAUAUAAUAAAGAGUGGUAGGUCGGUUUUUAUAUUAUUCACUGACAUGAAAUAUUUCUCAUCUAAUUUUAUAAUUUUUGAUUUUGCCUCUUAAAUCUUCUAUCUUCCAGAUUAUGAUUUUAUAUGCUUUUAUAAGAGUACAGGUCACUAUGGAGGAAUUUCCGUAGAUUCCCUUGUCUUUCUGACGUCAUCGAAUUAUAUAUAUAGCCGAAUCGAUUAUGCCGCUUUAUAAAGUUCAGGAUCAAUUGACCACAUUUAGCGCCAAACGCAGCGUUAACCUUAGAAUACUAAUCAUACUUUUAAGACAUUAAUACUAAUCAUACGUUAAAUUGACGUUUGUUGAGAUUUUUCCUAAAAAAAAAAAAAUUAUCAAGAUGAGAGAAAUAAAUUUUUAUUAGAAAUAAACCAUGCUAUUUUAAUGAGUAAGAAUAACAAAGAAAAACUUAAUGCUAUUUUUUUAUUACGUAUUAUUAGUAUUCUAGGAUUAAAUAAAAGUGUGAAUGCAAGGACUUCUCCUCGACACUAUCUGUGGAAAUAAAGUAUACUUUGCAUAAACGAGAUAAUUGAAAAUAACUUGAAAAGUAAAAAAAAGUAAAACUUGUGUAAAGCGAUUACUUUUUCAUAUUUUUUUAUGACCUUGAACGGGUUACAGAUUUUAACAUAUGAGUGAGAGUAGAGAACAAAGACACGCGUGUGAAUAUAAAAUUAAUGCCUUGAUUUGUAAAUAAAACUUCAUUACUUCCAACAAA